CGGCGAGUGAAGCGGCAACAGCUCAAAUUUGAAAUCUGGCCCUAGGCCCGAGUUGUAAUUUGCAGAGGAUGUUUCUGGCGAGGUGCCUUCCGAGUUCCCUGGAACGGGACGCCAUAGAGGGUGAGAGCCCCGUACGGUUGGUCGCUAAGCCUCUGUGAAACUCCUUCGACGAGUCGAGUAGUUUGGGAAUGCUGCUCUAAAUGGGAGGUAUACGUCUUCUAAAGCUAAAUACCGGCCAGAGACCGAUAGCGCACAAGUAGAGUGAUCGAAAGAUGAAAAGCACUUUGAAAAGAGGGUUAAAUAGUACGUGAAAUUGUUGAAAGGGAAGCGCUUAUGACCAGACUUGGACCGGUUGAUCAUCCAUCGUUCUCGGUGGUGCACUCUGCCGGUUCAGGCCAGCAUCAGUUCGUCCCGGGGGAUAAAGGCUUUGGGAAUGUGGCUCUUCGGAGUGUUAUAGCCCACUGCGUAAUACCCUGGGAUGGACUGAGGUUCGCGCUCCGCAAGGAUGCUGG
RNAcentral lists this ribosomal RNA (512 nucleotides) under Verruciconidia persicina. RNAcentral's name for it is "eukaryotic LSU rRNA". It matches the Rfam family "Eukaryotic large subunit ribosomal RNA", at positions 87 to 629 of the family's 3401-position model. The record is from RNAcentral. Lineage: Eukaryota; Fungi; Ascomycota; Sordariomycetes; Hypocreales; Bionectriaceae.